GGGUCGCUAGCUCAGUUGGUUAGAGCACACGCCUGAUAAGCGUGAGGUCGGUAGUUCGAGUCUACUGCGACCCACCA
This 77-nucleotide transfer RNA is filed under the name Candidatus Spyradocola merdavium. Its description in RNAcentral is "tRNA-Ile". It matches the Rfam family "tRNA". Rfam says of the family: Transfer RNA (tRNA) molecules are approximately 80 nucleotides in length. Their secondary structure includes four short double-helical elements and three loops (D, anti-codon, and T loops). The record is from RNAcentral. RNAcentral also lists the same sequence under 1 other name. Lineage: Bacteria; Bacillati; Bacillota; Clostridia; Christensenellales; Christensenellaceae.